RNAcentral lists this ribosomal RNA (253 nucleotides) under uncultured bacterium. Its description in RNAcentral is "partial 16S ribosomal RNA". It matches the Rfam family "Bacterial small subunit ribosomal RNA", at positions 524 to 776 of the family's 1533-position model. The record is from RNAcentral.
UACGUAGGGGGCGAGCGUUGUCCGGAUUUAUUGGGCGUAAAGAGCGUGUAGGCGGCCAGGUAGGUCUGCUGUGAAAACUCGAGGCUCAACCUCGAGACGUCGGCGGAAACCAUCUGGCUAGAGUCCGGAAGAGGAGAGUGGAAUUCCAGGUGUAGCGGUGAAAUGCGUAGAUAUCUGGAGGAACACCGGUGGCGAAGGCGGCAUCCUGGACCGACAUUGACGCUGAGGCGCGAAAGCCAGGGGAGCAAACGGG